This 337-nucleotide ribosomal RNA is filed under the name uncultured bacterium. Its description in RNAcentral is "bacterial SSU rRNA". It matches the Rfam family "Bacterial small subunit ribosomal RNA", at positions 1069 to 1397 of the family's 1533-position model. The record is from RNAcentral.
GAGGUGUCAGGUUAAGUCCUAUAACGAGCGCAACCCCUGAUUGUUAGUUGCCAGCGAUUAAUGUCGGGAACUCUAAGCAAAGACUGCCGGUGUAAACCGGUGAGGAAGGGUGGGGAUGACGUCAAAUCAUCACGGCCCUUACGUCCUGGGCUACACACGUGCUACAAGUGGCCGGCUACAGAGAGCAGCCACUGGGUGACCAGGAGCGAAUCUACAAAGCCGGUCACAGUUCGGAUCGGAGUCUGCAACUCGACUCCGUUGAAGCUGGAAUCGCUAGUAAUCGGAUAUCAGCCAUGAUCCGGUGAAUACGUUCCCGGGCCUUGUACACACCGCCCGU